CCCUUAGAUGUUCUGGGCCGCACGCGUGCUACACUGAGUGGAUCAGCGGGUCAGGUUGCGCGAAAGCGUUUCCUAAUCUUUAAAUCCGCUCGUGAUGGGGAUUGACGGUUGCAAUUUUCUGUCAUGAACGAGGAAUACCUUGUAAGCGCGGGUCAUCAUCCCGCGCUGAAUACGUCCCUGCCCUUUGUACACACCGCCCGUCGCUCCUACCGAUUGAAUGGUUCGGUGAAGAUCUCGGACUUCGAUAUUUAUUCUUUAUUGAGUUUAUAUUGUGGGAAGUUGUCUAAACCUCAUCAUUUAGAGGAAGGUGAAGUCGUAACA
Molecule: ribosomal RNA, 321 nt
Filed under: uncultured eukaryote
Lineage: Eukaryota
Description: partial 18S ribosomal RNA
Rfam family: Eukaryotic small subunit ribosomal RNA
Source: RNAcentral